RNAcentral lists this ribosomal RNA (497 nucleotides) under uncultured bacterium. Its description in RNAcentral is "partial 16S ribosomal RNA". It matches the Rfam family "Bacterial small subunit ribosomal RNA", at positions 28 to 507 of the family's 1533-position model. The record is from RNAcentral.
GAUGAACGCUGGCGGCGUGCCUAAUACAUGCAAGUCGAGCGAACAGACGAGGAGCUUGCUCCUCUGACGUUAGCAGCGGACGGGUGAGUAACACGUGGAUAACCUCCCUAUUAAACUGGGAUAACUUCGGGAAACCGGAGCUAAUACCGGAUAAUAUAUUGAACCGCAUGGUUCAAUAGUAAAAGACGGUUUUGCUGUCACUUAUGGAUGGAUCCGCGCCCCAUUAGCUAGUUGUUAAGGUAACGGCUUACCAAGACAACGAUGAGUAGCCGACAUGAGAGGGAAAUCUGCGACGCUGGAAAGGAGACACGUUCCAGACUCCUAAGGGAGGCAGCAGUAGGGGAUCUACCGGAGUGGGCGAAAGCCUGACGGAGCAACGCCGCGGGAGUGAUGAAGGUCUUCAGAUCGUAUAACUCUGUUAUCAGGGAAGAACAAAUGUGUAAGUAUAUGUGCACAAAUUGACGGUACCUAAUCAGAAAGCCACGGCUAACUACGUG